Molecule: ribosomal RNA, 235 nt
Filed under: uncultured microorganism
Description: partial 16S ribosomal RNA
Rfam family: Bacterial small subunit ribosomal RNA
Source: RNAcentral
GAGUUUGAUCUUGGCUCAGGACGAACGCUGGCGGCGUGCCUAAUACAUGCAAGUCGAGCGAGGGUUUUCGGACCCUAGCGGCGGACGGGUGAGUAACACGUAGGCAACCUGCCUCUCAGACCGGGAUAACAUAGGGAAACUUAUGCUAAUACCGGAUAGGUUUUGGAUUGCAUGAUCCGAAAGAAAGAUGGCUUUUUGCUAUCACUGGGAGAUGGGCCUGCGGCGCAUUAGCUAG